GUCGAACGGCAGCACGUGGGCAACCCUGGUUGGCGAGUGGCGAACGGGUGAGUAAUACAUCGGAACGUGUCCUGGAGUGGGGGAUAGCCCGGCGAAAGCCGGAUUAAUACCGCAUACGAUCUCUGGAUGAAAGCGGGGGACCGAAAGGCCUCGCGCUCAAGGGGCGGCCGAUGGCAGAUUAGCUAGUUGGUGGGGUAAAGGCCUACCAAGGCGACGAUCUGUAGCUGGUCUGAGAGGACGACCAGCCACACUGGGACUGAGACACGGCCCAGACUCCUACGGGAGGCAGCAGUGGGGAAUUUUGGACAAUGGGGGCAACCCUGAUCCAGCAAUGCCGCGUGUGUGAAGAAGGCCUUCGGGUUGUAAAGCACUUUUGUCCGGAAAGAAAACCGCUUCUCUAAUACAGAGGUGGGAUGACGGUACCGGAAGAAUAAGCACCGGCUAACUACGUGCCAGCAGCCGCGGUAAUACGUAGGGUGCGAGCGUUAAUCGGAAUUACUGGGCGUAAAGCGUGCGCAGGCGGUUCGCUAAGACCGAUGUGAAAUCCCCGGGCUUAACCUGGGAACUGCAUUGGUGACUGGCGGGCUANAGUAUGGCAGAGGGGGGUAGAAUCCACGUGUAGCAGUGAAAUGCGUAGAGAUGUGGAGGAAUACCGAUGGCGAAGGCAGCCC
RNAcentral lists this ribosomal RNA (671 nucleotides) under Burkholderia sp. Cs125. Its description in RNAcentral is "bacterial SSU rRNA". It matches the Rfam family "Bacterial small subunit ribosomal RNA", at positions 61 to 727 of the family's 1533-position model. The record is from RNAcentral. Lineage: Bacteria; Pseudomonadati; Pseudomonadota; Betaproteobacteria; Burkholderiales; Burkholderiaceae.